UACGAAGGGGGCGAGCGUUGUUCGGAAUUACUGGGCGUAAAGGGCGCGCAGGCGGCUCUGCAAGUCAGAUGUGAAAGCCCCGGGCUUAACCUGGGAAUUGCAUUUGAUACUCUGGAGCUUGAGUGUGGGAGAGGAGAGUGGAAUUCCCAGUGUAGAGGUGAAAUUCGUAGAUAUUGGGAAGAACACCGGUGGCGAAGGCGGCUCUCUGGACCACAACUGACGCUGAGGCGCGAAGGUCAGGGGAGCAAACGGG
RNAcentral lists this ribosomal RNA (253 nucleotides) under uncultured bacterium. Its description in RNAcentral is "partial 16S ribosomal RNA". It matches the Rfam family "Bacterial small subunit ribosomal RNA", at positions 524 to 776 of the family's 1533-position model. The record is from RNAcentral.